ACAACGGAUUUACUAAAAUCCAUUUACAAAGCAUGAGUACUUUUGU
This is a non-coding RNA of Octopus bimaculoides (California two-spot octopus), 46 nucleotides long. The record is from Rfam. NCBI's taxonomy places the organism in Eukaryota, Metazoa, Mollusca, Cephalopoda, Octopoda, Octopodidae.